RNAcentral lists this ribosomal RNA (500 nucleotides) under uncultured bacterium. RNAcentral's name for it is "partial 16S ribosomal RNA". It matches the Rfam family "Bacterial small subunit ribosomal RNA", at positions 30 to 523 of the family's 1533-position model. The record is from RNAcentral.
AUUGAACGCUGGCGGCAGGCCUAACACAUGCAAGUCGAGCGGAUGAAGAGAGCUUGCUCUCUGAUUUAGCGGCGGACGGGUGAGUAAUGCCUAGGAAUCCGCCUGGUAGUGGGGGAUAACGUUCCGAAAGGAACGCUAAUACCGCAUACGUCCUACGGGAGAAAGUGGGGGAUCUUCGGACCUCACGCUAUCAGAUGAGCCUAGGUCGGAUUAGCUAGUUGGUGAGGUAAUGGCGAACCAAGGCGACGAUCCGUAACUGGUCUGAGAGGAUGAUCAGUCACACUGGAACUGAGACACGGUCCAGACUCCUACGGGAGGCAGCAGUGGGGAAUAUUGGACAAUGGGCGAAAGCCUGAUCCAGCCAUGCCGCGUGUGUGAAGAAGGUCUUCGGAUUGUAAAGCACUUUAAGUUGGGAGGAAGGGUUGUAGAUUAAUACUCUGCAAUUUUGACGUUACCGACAGAAUAAGCACCGGCUAACUUCGUGCCAGCCGCCGCAGUAA